This 372-nucleotide ribosomal RNA is filed under the name uncultured organism. RNAcentral's name for it is "bacterial SSU rRNA". It matches the Rfam family "Bacterial small subunit ribosomal RNA", at positions 526 to 896 of the family's 1533-position model. The record is from RNAcentral.
CAGAGGUCCCGAGCGUUGUUCGGAUUCACUGGGCGUAAAGGGUGCGUAGGUGGUGAGGUAAGUCGGAUGUGAAAUCUCGGAGCUCAACUCCGAAAUGGCAUUGGAAACUACCUUGCUUGAGGAUUGGAGGGGGGACUGGAAUACUUGGUGUAGCAGUGAAAUGCGUAGAUAUCAAGUGGAACACCAGUGGCGAAGGCGAGUCCCUGGACAACUCCUGACACUGAGGCACGAAAGCUAGGGGAGCAAACAGGAUUAGAUACCCUGGUAGUCCUAGCCGUAAACGGUGCACGUUUGCUGUAAAAGGAAUCGACCCCUUUUGUGGCGUAGCCAACGCGUUAAACGUGCCGCCUGGGAAGUACGGUCGCAAGAUUA